GACAGAGGUCCCGAGCGUUAGGCGGAAUCACUGGGCUUAAAGCGUGUGUAGGCGGAUCGUUAAGUGCCUUGUGAAAUCCCACGGCUCAACCAUGGAACUGCUUGGUAUACUGGCGAUCUUGUGCAACCUAGGGGCGAGCGGAACAGAUGGUGGAGCGGUGAAAUGCGUAGAUAUCAUCUGGAACGCCAAUGGUGAAAACAGCUCGCUGGGGGUUUGCAGACGCUGAGACACGAAAGCCAGGGGAGCGAACGGG
Molecule: ribosomal RNA, 253 nt
Filed under: uncultured bacterium
Lineage: Bacteria
Description: partial 16S ribosomal RNA
Rfam family: Bacterial small subunit ribosomal RNA
Source: RNAcentral